AUGAACGCUGGCGGCGUGCCUAAUACAUGCAAGUCGAGCGAACAGACGAGGAGCUUGCUCCUCUGACGUUAGCGGCGGACGGGUGAGUAACACGUGGAUAACCUACCUAUAAGACUGGGAUAACUUCGGGAAACCGGAGCUAAUACCGGAUAAUAUAUUGAACCGCAUGGUUCAAUAGUGAAAGACGGUUUUGCUGUCACCUAUAGAUGGAUCCGCGCCGCAUUAGCUAGUUGGUAAGGUAACGGCUUACCAAGGCAACGAUGCGUAGCCGACCUGAGAGGGUGAUCGGCCACACUGGAACUGAGACACGGUCCAGACUCCUACGGGAGGCAGCAGUAGGGAAUCUUCCGCAAUGGGCGAAAGCCUGACGGAGCAACGCCGCGUGAGUGAUGAAGGUCUUCGGAUCGUAAAACUCUGUUAUUAGGGAAGAACAAAUGUGUAAGUAACUAUGCACGUCUUGACGGUACCUAAUCAGAAAGCCACGGCUAACUACGUG
RNAcentral lists this ribosomal RNA (496 nucleotides) under uncultured bacterium. RNAcentral's name for it is "partial 16S ribosomal RNA". It matches the Rfam family "Bacterial small subunit ribosomal RNA", at positions 29 to 507 of the family's 1533-position model. The record is from RNAcentral.